RNAcentral lists this long non-coding RNA (4419 nucleotides) under Salvia miltiorrhiza (redroot sage). RNAcentral's name for it is "long non-coding RNA (SMIL_LNC011640)". The record is from RNAcentral. Lineage: Eukaryota; Viridiplantae; Streptophyta; Magnoliopsida; Lamiales; Lamiaceae.
GUCACACCCCAAUUCUUGAAGGAAUAAAUAUAAUCGAGGUGUGAAUAAUUCAUAGAAAUAAACAAGGAACAACCUUGUUAAAACCCGAAUAAUAAGAUAGAGAGUCGGGCUAUGCCCCUUUGGAUCACAAGUUUUGUUUCAUGCUUCUGACAACCGACAUUCAUUAGCAUAAAUUUAGUAGUGAAGAGUCUAAGCUCGGUCAGGUAUAUCAUUUGAAAUUUAACAUGAAGAUCUUAAGUUGAGAAAACAAAAGACUGAUAUGAGUAAUUGCUACAGCGGAAGUCUAACAUAUGAAUUUAUCUCUAGCCUCAGCUCCGUCCCGUCAGCACCGGCCAGCCAACCUGAAAACAUUUGAAAGUAUUUUUGGGCUAAGUACUAAUGUACUUAGUGGGCAUGCAUUUUCUGAAACAUUUCAUAUUUUCGUAAACACAGUUUAUCCAAUCGUACUUGACAUAACUUAGAAGGUUUUAAAUUGAAAGAACUUCUAAGCAUGUUAAAAUAAUUUUCAUUUGUGCGCACAUGUCACACUCCCUUUCCGUUACUCGCUGUGAUCCCGGACCUUUUAGCCACCGACGGAUCCAUUACUCCUGCUUUACUUGGACUGAGGGCGUAACCCAGCCAAGUUCCCAUUUGGGACCCAAUGCUCCGGAACACAUCCCGUCGAGCACCCUUAUAACGCCUCAUACAUGAUUAGUGCCCGAGUGGAGAUCAACCCACCGAGUCAGCUAAUAGGUGUACACAAUUCUCAAAUAACGUGUUAGGUCAAGAGAGAACCUCGAUCGAUUCAUUAAUGCGAGCCUUAAACAGAGCAGAGUGCACAUAAACAUUUUUAUUGGAUAAACAGUUUUCAUUACAUUAAAUAAACAAUUUGCAGUUCAUUGAAACAUUUAGAGCUUAAUAACUCAAUCAUACUUUGUACAUUUGGAAAGUAAGCCCACCUGGUUAGGCAAAGCCUGAAGAUCAUAAUCACAUAUAAACCUGUCUUGGGAAAGCAACGCUAAUCCCCCUGGUCACAAAGCCUACAAGAAAUUCUAUUCUUAAUAGGUCUCGUGAAGCUAACUUAAAGUCUUAGUGGAUGUACUAAACAUACUUGAUUCAUCACGCCGAGUUUCCAAAAUUUAGUAAAUAAAUAUUUGAAAACUAAAUUCUUGAGUUAAGGACACCAACAAUAUCCUUACUCGAUUUUCUUAAAUAAUUGGAUUUAUAAAUAAACCAAUUAAAUCAAGAAUACUUUUAUUGCAUGAUGCAAAUGCAAUGUCAUGUCAUGCUUAGCAUAUAUAUGAUAAGUAAUUACUUAAAAUAUGCACAUAACAAUAAUAAAAUAUUAUUAUGCAAUUUGUCUUUAAAAAUAAUUAAUCAACUACUGAUAAUCAAAUUAAUUAAAAUGUGGACUGCCCAAAAUAAUUUAAUGUAAGGCCCAACUUCUUAAAAAUUCGCAGCCCACAUAAAUGAAUAGACAUGGCCUAAUUAAAUAAAUAAAACAGGCCCAACACUCAUAAAAAUCGGCCCAAGACUCGGCCCAACAGCACAACUCAAGCCCAACACCCCCAAGCCCAAACCUAGCCUUUUCCUCCUUCCUUUUCUCCCCCCCAUCAGCCGCACACGCCCAUACAUCAUUCUCUCACUCUCCCUCAACUCGUCUCUCUCUCUCGACUGCUCUUCCGCCGCGGACGCUCGCCGGAGAAGCGAGCGGCGACAGGCUCCAGCUCCCCUCUCUCUUUUUCGGCGACUGUAACGAUAAAAGCCGCCGCCGACCGAUGACUCCGACUCCCAUCUCUCUCCCUUGGGUCCCCUGUCACUUCCCCCUGUUCUCUCUGCAUACACCGGCGACAACGAGCGUCGUCGACUCCCUCUCUCUCUCUGAAUCAGUCCGGCGAGCAGCAAUGGAACUGCUGCCGCCGCCGACACACCAGUCACCACCAAUCGGCCUUCCCCCUCGUCCUCGACUCGAACUUCACACACACAACAACCACUCUCUCUCUCCUGGGUCUGAUCGGCAGCACGCUGACGCCACCGCCGACGCUCCUCCCUCUCCUCUGCUCAACCUUGGCCGAUGGCACCGCCAUCGUCGCCCUCAAAUUCCCAGCGAGUAGCAGCCACCAAGCUGCCACCACCGCCGCCCAUUUCCCUUCUGUUCUUACUCAGACGGCAGCAACGAGCCACCGCCGUCUCUACCCGAUUCUGACUUCACACUCACAAAAACGGCAGCCCCGACAUCAAAACGAAGUUUUAAGACAUCAUAUUCAAUUUUUCAUGCUUUCUUAUGCAUAUGCACAGAUUGUAUCUAUAUAUAUAAUUAUGCGAAUACAUACGUAUGCUCGUGAUGUAGCUCUACUGUCAUUUUAAUAAAGAUUGUGAGAAUACAAUUUAUAGAGUAGAGUUUGGAAGUGAAACCUUUUAAUAAGGUGUCUGUUGGAUCAGAUUCUAAACAUGCUUAGUUGCUGGAAUUCUUGAGCUUCGGAUUUUUCUGUGAGAGAUGCAAUAUUUUGGAUGAUUGUGAAUGAGGAAAGAUCAUUUUAAGAAAAAAUGAGUUAACAGUUGAAUGGAUUGAUGAGUAGUGUAGCAGCAUGGGUUGGUGAAUAGGGCAGCUGAAUUGUAGAGGCGUGGUUGAAAUAUUUGACUUGGGGCUGAAAUAUUUGAUGGAGAUUUGCCUGCCUGCACAAAAGCAUGGCUCAAGGCUGACUUUUGGGCUAAAAGCAUGGCUCAAGGCUGACUUUUGGGACUGCAGUAGGUAAGUAGGGUGGCUGAUGGAGGAAAUAGGUUAUGAGUGAUAAUUGGACACUCCAAAAUCCCUCAGGAUAAAAUCGUCAAGACUGUACUAAUGCUUCAAGGUUUGCUAAUUAAAAGCUCGUGAAAAAUGCUUGAAUGCUAAAUUAAAUAAAUAUGCAAUGCAUAUAAAUUUAAUAACUAAAUUUACAAAUGCUUUUGUAAAAUCAUUUUUGUUGGAAUUUAAAAUAUAAAUCAUUUUUCAUUUUUCCGGCGUAAAUCAUCCUAAUCUAAGUUUAAAAUAAAUUCUAAACUUAAUAUAAAUAGGCGGGGUGUUACAUUCCUCCCUCCUUAUAAAAAUUCCGUCCUCGGAAUUGCAUAUUUGGUAUUCUAGUUUGGGAUACUAGACUUUCAUUAUCAGUGCGGCUACAUAGCUUGAUUGUUAUCGCAUCUUUCUAAUUGUGAGAACACCAUGUCUAUAGUCUCGAGAACUAGUGACAAACGAACUCAUUCUAAUCAUAUUAUGCUUAUCGUGAUGGAAGAAAAAUCUUAUUGUGGCAACUACAUAGUGAGAGUCUAUACAUUGUGAUGACGCUCUAUAACUAAAUUGACAAUCACCGAGAUCAUAGUCAUGUGGCUGGCCAGACCCAGCACGGCGAGUCACUCAGUCAAAUGGGAGCUUCGCCCCCAAUCAUGUCAACAUCUUAUCUCUUAUAAGGCUCUAAUUGAAUUUCUAACUUAAGCACUUACUUCUAAGUACUUCAAUCAUAAAUCAUUGGUACCAUAUAAAUCCAUUCUAUGCCGUUCUAGCGGUGCUAUCACGACUAACAUUCUUAAGACAUUCUUGGGUGGUUCUCAAACGGUUUGUAAAAGAACUUAUCAUUCUAAUCAUAUAGGCAGUGAACCUAAAAUGAUAACAUAAAGCUUUCUCAUAAUUCAUUCAUUCAUACAUACAUACAUAUAUUUGCUUUCUUUGAAAUUUUGAGUCAUAUAGACAUUAAAUGUCCCCUUCAUGAAAAACUUUGCUUAUGCCGGAAAGAUUCAAGGAAUCUAACUCGACCAUACAUACAUACAUACAUUGAUUCGUUGAGGGCUCGGGUUGUCCCAAACACGAAAUACAUUCAUUAAGUCGUUAUGGGUUCGGGUAGUCCCAAACACGACAAAAAGCAUUCACAUAGCAUCGUAAACAUAAGGCGCACAUUUUCUUGAAAACUUUCAUAACAUCUGAAAUACAUAUAUGUAUAUUUUUGAAACUAUUAUCGUACCUUGGUUGCGGCAGUGUGACGGCGAGCUGAGGACUACUGACAUUCUUAGAAGUCUAGAGAUACUAUUCUAGACUCGACAUCAAAAGCUUAUGGUUAUCAGAAACAUGAAAGAAAACUCAUGCUCUGAUACCAUUCUGUCACACCCCAAUUCUUGAAGGAAUAAAUAUAAUCGAGGUGUGAAUAAUUCAUAGAAAUAAACAAGGGAAAUACCUUGUUAAAACCCGAAAUAGGAUAGAAAGUCAGGCUAGGCCCCUUUGGAUCACAAGUUUUGUUUCAUGCUUCUGACAACCGACGUUCAUUAACAUAAAACUAUAAAUUUUAAAUUGAAGCUCAAAUGAAGUCAUCUUAAGUUGAGAAAACAAAAGAUGUAUAAGAGUAAUUGCUACAGCGGAAGUCUAACAUAGGAAUUUAUCUCUAGCCUCAGCUCCGUCCCGUCAGCACCGGCCAG